Molecule: RNA transcript, 1146 nt
Organism: Gossypium arboreum
Lineage: Eukaryota; Viridiplantae; Streptophyta; Magnoliopsida; Malvales; Malvaceae
Gene name: mitochondrial import receptor subunit TOM20-like
Exons: 7
Source: RefSeq, a predicted model, not a curated record
UAAAGGAGGAAAAUAAAAUAAGAAUAUUGCAGAUGCUGAAGGAAAGAAAGAUUCAGUCUGUCAAAGUCUUUAGGGCUCCUUCCAAAGACACGGAGUCUUGAUUUGGAUACGCUCUAACAUUUGUCCGUACAGAUAAUUCAUACUAAAGAUUUAACCGGAAACCAAAGCCAUGGAAAUGUCCAACGAUCUCGAUAGGUUGCUCUUUUUCGAGCAAGCUCGUAAAAUUUCCGAGGCUACUUACGCUUCCAAUCCUCUCGAUGCCGAUAAUUUGACCAGAUGGGCCGGAGCUUUACUGGAGUUGUCUCAGUUUCAAAGCGUUCCAGAUUCUCAGAAAAUGAUUCAAGAUGCUAUUUCGAAACUAGAGGAGGCUUUAUCUAUUAACCCUAGAAAGCAUGAUGCUUUAUGGUGCUUGGGAAAUGCUCAGACUUCUUUUGCGUUUCUGACUAACAAGGAGGACGAGGCAAGGCCUUAUUUCGAAAAGGCUGCUCAAUAUUUCCAGCAAGCAGUCGAUGAGGACCCGAGCAAUGACAUUUACCUUAAGUCUUUAGAAAUAUCUGCCAAGGCUCCAGAAUUACACCAGGAAAUCAUUAAGCAUGGUUUAGGUCAACAGACGCUUGGGGCUGGACCUUCUACUUCUACUUCCUCCAAUUCAACAAAGACUGCUACAAAGAAUAAGACCAGCAGUGAUCUCAAAUAUGACAUAUGUGGAUGGAUAAUCCUUGCUGUCGGCAUUGUUGCAUGGGUUGGGUUUGCAAAAUCACAAAUGCCACCCUCCCCACCGCCACCACCCCCGCGAUAAGCGACCACAUCAACAUUCUCCCGAGUGAUUCAGACAGCCUUCAUCCUUUUGAGUCGAGACAUUUGAAGGAAAUUUGAGAACUGUUUUGCUUUCGGUGGUUCAUACCUAAGAAUUUGAUAUGGUUUUGCAUCCAUCAACAAUCCAGCCAACCCCACGGCAGUUCUACCGCUAGUUUUACGAGCCUCGUGGCGGCAUAGUCUCCUAGUUGGCAGGUGAGCAUGCUGUAGUUUAGGCUUGGUUUUCGAGCCCUUGUACUGCCUCGUGUAUAUUUUGGGCUCGUUGAACUCUGUGUUUACACCUGUUUCAUUGUACAUUUUUUCAAUUUAAGAGAGAGAAAUUCUUUUAAA